This 460-nucleotide ribosomal RNA is filed under the name uncultured bacterium. RNAcentral describes it as "partial 16S ribosomal RNA". It matches the Rfam family "Bacterial small subunit ribosomal RNA", at positions 338 to 795 of the family's 1533-position model. The record is from RNAcentral.
CCUACGGGAGGCAGCAGUGAGGAAUAUUGGUCAAUGGACGAGAGUCUGAACCAGCCAAGUAGCGUGAAGGAUGACUGCCCUAUGGGUUGUAAACUUCUUUUAUAUGGGAAUAAAAUGUUCCACGUGUGGGAUUUUGUAUGUACCAUAUGAAUAAGGAUCGGCUAACUCCGUGCCAGCAGCCGCGGUAAUACGGAGGAUCCGAGCGUUAUCCGGAUUUAUUGGGUUUAAAGGGAGCGUAGGUGGAUUGUUAAGUCAGUUGUGAAAGUUUGCGGCUCAACCGUAAAAUUGCAGUUGAAGCUGGCAGUCUUGAGUACAGUAGAGGUGGGCGGAAUUCGUGGUGUAGCGGUGAAAUGCUUAGAUAUCACGAAGAACUCCGAUUGCGAAGGCAGUUCACUGGACUGCAACUGACACUGAGGCUCGAAAGUGUGGGUAUCAAACAGGAUUAGAUACCCGAGUAGUC